GAUGAACGCUGGCGGCGUGCUUAACACAUGCAAGUCGAACGGAAAGGCCCAAGCUUGCUUGGGUACUCGAGUGGCGAACGGGUGAGUAACACGUGGGUGAUCUGCCCUGCACUUCGGGAUAAGCCUGGGAAACUGGGUCUAAUACCGGAUAGGACCACAUUUUGGAUGGUGUGGUGGAAAGUUUUUCGGUGUGGGAUGAGCUCGCGGCCUAUCAGCUUGUUGGUGGGGUAAUGGCCUACCAAGGCGUCGACGGGUAGCCGGCCUGAGAGGGUGUACGGCCGCAUUGGGACUGAGAGACGGCCCAGACUCCUACGGGAGGCAGCAGUGGGGAAUAUUGCACAAUGGGCGCAAGCCUGAUGCAGCGACGCCGCGUGGGGGAUGACGGCCUUCGGGUUGUAAACUCCUUUCGCUAGGGACGAAGCGUUAUGUGACGGUACCUGGAGAAGAAGCACCGGCUAACUACGUG
RNAcentral lists this ribosomal RNA (466 nucleotides) under uncultured bacterium. RNAcentral describes it as "partial 16S ribosomal RNA". It matches the Rfam family "Bacterial small subunit ribosomal RNA", at positions 28 to 507 of the family's 1533-position model. The record is from RNAcentral.